RNAcentral lists this long non-coding RNA (358 nucleotides) under Felis catus (domestic cat). RNAcentral's name for it is "lncRNA (ENSFCAG00000049015.1)". Lineage: Eukaryota; Metazoa; Chordata; Mammalia; Carnivora; Felidae. The record is from RNAcentral.
CUGGUCUCUGAGGGGGCUGGGGGCCGUGGGCAGGGGGCUUCCAGGCGUCUACCCAAUUCCCAGCCGUCUCUUGCUCUCAUGCGCACGUUGAACCUAAAGCAGACCUCGCAGCAGACAGGAAUCCAACGAACGAUCAAGUCUCUGUAACAGUUACGGUAGAUGCUUGGUGCCCAGCCAAACUUCCCUUAACCACAACCCACUCCCCCAGUUGCCACUGGCUGGUGAAGGCUCACAGCUGUCUCCCCUGAAGACUGGGAGUGAAGAUUAUACAUUUCUUCUCCUGGGGCUGACCGUAGCCAAUAACUGACUGGUGUGGAUGUGCAAAAGGCCAGCACCCCCACCCCCGACUUUAGGCACG